CCUACGGGAGGCACCAGUGGGGAAUAUUGCACAAUGGGCGCAAGCCUGAUGCAGCGACGCCGCGUGAGGGAUGACGGCCUUCGGGUUGUAAACCUCUUUCAGCAGGGACGAAGCGAAAGUGACGGUACCUGCAGAAGAAGCACCGGCCAACUACGUGCCAGCAGCCGCGGUAAUACGUAGGGUGCAAGCGUUGUCCGGAAUUAUUGGGCGUAAAGAGCUCGUAGGCGGCUUGUCGCGUCGGCUGUGAAAACCUGGGGCUCAACCCCGGGCCUGCAGCCGAUACGGGCAAGCUAGAAUUCGGUAGGGGAGACUGGAAUUCCUGGUGUAGCGGUGAAAUGCGCAGAUAUCAGGAGGAACACCGGUGGCGAAGGCGGGUCUCUGGGCCGAUAUUGACGCUGAGGAGCGAAAGCGUGGGGAGCGAACAGGAUUAGAUACCCGGGUAGUC
Molecule: ribosomal RNA, 445 nt
Filed under: uncultured bacterium
Lineage: Bacteria
Description: bacterial SSU rRNA
Rfam family: Bacterial small subunit ribosomal RNA
Source: RNAcentral